UGUCUUUGUAGAGGGUCCGGCAGAGAGGCGAGUAGGCGUUGGUUUCUUCACUGAAGAUGGUGAUUCUAGGUUUUUCUGGCUUUUGACUAGUGAGACCACGUCGAGGUUUGUUGCUAAUGCAGCUUCAACCCAAAGAGAGACUGGACUUGGUGGAUCAGAUGACGACUGGAAACUAUCUUCAGAAACAAGCUGACUGUAUUUCGUAACGUCUCCAUAGAUUGUCAAAAACUGGUUGAUGAUUCGCAAUGGAUUCUCCAGCUUAGAGGCUGAAGAAAAUUCAGCGAAUUUACUGAAAUAUCCACCACAAAAUGGUGUGUCAAAGACCAAAUGAAAGUUGGAGUUGCCAAAAGUUUUUAAAUUUGUUAUUUCUACCUUAAACAUCUAAUGAUGCACUCAUUGGCAUUAGCCUCCUCCAAUGCCCGAGCGGCAGCUUUAGCAGCAAAGUUUCUUCUUUGCACAGCCUCCUGUUAAAUAAAUCAAAUAUACAAUCGCAUGAGGAUACAUAAACUCGCCCUUAGUCUUAGCAUAUCUAACACAAGAAACACUUUGUCACGUUCACCUUUGCAAGUCUUGCAAGAUCCCCUGGGAUGCUAUCCAAUGGAACACUACCAUCUGUCCAUUUCCUAUCAUGAUAAGUGAUCCCAAGUCCUUCAAAAGCUGAGACGUCUUCUUCAUCUUCCACUAAACUACUCGCAGAUGAACAAGACUUGGCUUUCUCUUCACAUGCUGAAGAAUCACUCUUUCGCCAAUUCGCAUCACUAAGACGUCUCGUCAUAGCAGCCUGAAACAAUUAAUUGUACAUUCUCCAUUUCAGUUCAUCACGCAACACACAAGUAUCAAACUUUAUCCUCGAUUGUUACCUGAGUACGCAAAAUCCCUUGAAGAUCAGUAUUCUUCUUAAUACUACUCUUCUCCUUCUGCUCAGGUUGAACAUUUCCAUCAAGUUCAUCCCAAUUCUUUCGGUUACCAUUCUUAGCUGAAGAUCCGACAAGAGCCUCGGAGACUUUGGAGAUUCCUGCAGCAAGCGCGGCCAUCUUCUUCUUCCCCAAAGAAUCGCCAACCAUGGGAGCCAUUUUCAAACCACUUGAAAGCCUUCUUCCGGGUGAAAUGGACAGUCUUCUUCCACUAGGAGAUGGAUUCACCUUCCUUCCAUUAGGUGAUGGUUGUCUGUAUCUGGACGGCACAACAAUGGCUGCCUCUCUAGCAACCUUUCUAUUCUCCUCACGCGCCGCUGCAAGGCUCGGCACUACGCAUUUGGAUGGAACCGGAGACGCAGAUCUCCUCCCUUUGGAGGAAACAACUGGUGAUGAAUCUCUUUCGACCCAAGAGCUGUGCUUCUUCCCUGAUGAGACUGACCGCUGCUUAGCCGAUGCUGGUGACGAGAAUCUCUGUGGCGUCCGCUUAGGUUUUUGGUCGUUUAGGUUCACGGGAGCAAGCGGUUGCCUUCCUCUGGGAGCCACCGUGACGUCAUCGUCGUCGUCGGAUCGUUUGUUGUUUAAGUAAACGGCGAUAGGGUCAAGCGAGUACUCAGAAGCGGGAACAGGCUGGAUAACGAAGUCUCGCUUGGAUCCGCGUGCGAUCAGCGGCUCGGGAGUUCCGACGAAAGCGUGACGGCCGGCGACGGGGCGGAUCUCUCUCUCUCUCUCUCUCUCUCUCUCUCUCUCUUUCUCUCUCUCUCUUUCAUUCUCUUUCAAUUUUUAUUUCUUUACAGGUGGAAAAAACAAAAUUGGAUGGGUAUUUAUAACAAAACUGGAAAUGGUUUUGGGCCUCGAUGGGCUGAAUCCGUUGGGCCAGAAUUUGGAUCAUUACAAUUUUACUUGAGCCAUAUUACCUUGUGCCAAAACACGGUAGGAGAAAGGAUUCGCAAGAAUUACCAAGUGACCUUGGAGGAGAAAGAGGGACCAAAUGAGUCUGCAGACUUGCUCCAUAAGUACCGAUCCAGAGCAUUUACGGUGAUCAGGAGAUAAUCUGCUGUAAUGGCUAUUUAAAUCGUUUGCAUCACCUGAGACCUAGCAGCAGGUAAAAUCCAUGAUCCGUUAUUUGGUGCAUCCACCACAAACGCACUCUUCCUGAUCCGCAAAUUUCAAGGACCACUGUCACCUGCCACACAAAACAAUGGUCCCAAGUGCGUCCAAUAGUCGAACCAAAAGCUUGCAACUUCCCCAUUUCCAAUAAUACAUCUCAUUACAAUUUUACUUGAGCCAUAUUACCUUGUGCCAAAACACGGUAAGAGAAAGGAUUCACAAGAAUUGCCAAGUGACCUUGGAGGAGAAAGAGGGACCAAAUGAGUCUGCAGACUUGCUCCAUAAGUACCGAUCCAGAGCAUUUACGGUGAUUGGGGGAUAAUCUGCUGUAAUGGCUAUUUAAAUCGUUUGCAUCACCUGAGACCUAGCAGCAGGUAAAAUCCAUGAUCCGUUAUUUGGUGCAUCCACCACAAACGCACUCUUCCUGAUCCGCAAAUUUCAAGGACCACUGUCACCUGCCACACAAAACAAUGGUCCCAAGUGCGUCCAAUAGUCGAACCAAAAGCUUGCAACUUCCCCAUUUCCAAUAAUACAUCUCAUUAAAUCAGAUAACAUUGGCCUGAGCUGCAGCAUAUUUUUAAUAGUAGCGGAAAGUAUCGGCAAAGCACUAAGCCUUCGCCUCUUAUGGAAAUACAUCUGAAACAUUUGAAUGAAGUUCCAUUUUGUGGGGCUCACAGUUUACAAAAACAAUUUAUUUAUAUACAUAUAGAAUACAUAUAUAUAUAUAUAAUGUGAAAACAAAAUCUACUUUUUAUUAUGCAUAAAUUUAAAUGAAAAUAAUAGCUUUGUGUUAUUAUGAUUUAAAAAUGAAUAAAAUAAAGAAAAUAUAUUAUGCUUAUAAUGUUAUUGAAAUCAAUAACUUUUUUCUUUAAAUAAAACAUAUAUCUUUUUGAUAAAACAUAAUAUUUAAUCCAAACUAAGGUUUUGCUAAAAAAAAGUUAAUGAAAAUAUUAUUAAUUAAACACAUUUUUAAUAGGGCUCCAAAACCUGAUGAGGAGACUCUGCCUUUGGAUAUGAUUUUCCAUAAGUUGUACCUUUAACUUUUAAGAUUGUUUUGGAUACAUUUUUGUAUAAUGGGGCUAUUGAGACACUCAAAGGUUGGAAAAAGGAGCACCGUUUUCUCUUUACCUUGCACAGAACAGAAGUACUUCUCACAUGUUGCUUGUGCCAAGGGUAACACUGAGAACGAAUUAGCUAUAGUGAGUUUCAAUUCUUGAAUUCUGUUAUGUCUUUGUCCUUGAAGAGAUUCUGAGACGAAUAAAGUCUGAACCUCACGUUUUAAUUUCCUCUGUGAAGCUCAAUGGGUAUGAUGAAAAUUUUGCUGAAGGCUUUAGAGCAGUUUUGAUUGACAAGGAUAAGGUUUGUUUCAUUGCCAACAAAUUUUUGUCUUUGUCUAUAUCAAACCCUCUGAAACAAACGAAACUGAUGCUAUCUGAGAAAAUUGCAUCUCAGAAUCCGAAAUGCAACCCGGCAAGCAUUGAAGAAGUAGAGGAAAACGAGAUGGAAGUUCUCUGUAAACCAUUAAGUCCAUAAGUGGAAGAGUCAAAGGUCUAAUUCUAACUUGCUUUCUGCUCAAAGUUUGUGUGCAAACAAAAACCAAAUCUUUUUUUUAGCCAUGUUGAAGAACCUGUUACUGUAAUAGCUUCACUUAAUAUUUGUUUUUGAUUAAUAUGUUCGAGCAUUUGAGAAACAUGAGCAUUGUAUGGAAAGUUUGAAACGUGAAAGCAUCUGUGUCGACAAAACCAAAAGAUAAUAAAAAUAAAUCAAGAAGCAGUGUUGUCAAAAGUAGAACCGACGUGGUGGAUCACGAAUCCAUAGAUUUUUCGUUUCAACCGUUCAAUCUUGUCCGUUAAAUGCAUUGUUGUGAUCUGGUUUUCUUGGUCCGACACGACACGGUCUAACCACUCGUUGACUUGUUUCAGCUGAGACAGAACAGCAGCUAUGGAACUACCGUCUAAAGGCCGCGCAUUUUUGUUGUCUAACGACUCUUCGACGAACCCAAUGAACCACAUUUGCAUUUCGGCUUGUACGUUCACUGCGAAUUUAGCUGUCUCCUUCAUGCCAUCUUUGUCUGUCCACAUCCCAACAAUGUUGUCUGAAACCACCACAGUUACAAGUUUGUAAAAAUAUUUUGCUUUGUUGAUUGAAGAUUAAAAUCUGUUUCAGUUGAAGAGCAAACCUGUCUUUGUAGAGGGUCCGGCAGAGAGGCGAGUAGGCGUUGGUUUCUUCACUGAAGAUGGUGAUUCUAGGUUUUUCUGGCUUUUGACUAGUGAGACCACGUCGAGGUUUGUUGCUAAUGCAGCUUCAACCCAAAGAGAGACUGGACUUGGUGGAUCAGAUGACGACUGGAAACUAUCUUCAGAAACAAGCUGACUGUAUUUCGUAACGUCUCCAUAGAUUGUCAAAAACUGGUUGAUGAUUCGCAAUGGAUUCU
This 4458-nucleotide long non-coding RNA is filed under the name Brassica napus (rape). RNAcentral's name for it is "long non-coding RNA (BNAP_LNC006651)". Lineage: Eukaryota; Viridiplantae; Streptophyta; Magnoliopsida; Brassicales; Brassicaceae. The record is from RNAcentral.